GGGUGGUAAAUUUCAUCUAAAGCUAAAUACUGGUCGGAGACCGAUAGCGCACAAGUAGAGUGAUCGAAAGAUGAAAAGCACUUUGAAAAGAGAGUUAAACAGCAUGUGAAAUUGUUGAAAGGGAAGCGCUUGCGACCAGAGUCGGCCGCGGGGGCUCAGCGGGCACUUGUUGCCCGUGCACUCCCCCGUGGUCGGGCCAGCGUCGGUUUCGACGGCCGGUCAAAGGCCCCCGGAAUGUGUCGCCUCUCGGGGCGUCUUAUAGCCGGGGGUGCAAUGCGGCCAGUCGGGACCGAGGAACGCGCUCCGGCACGGACGCUGGCUUAAUGGUUGUAAGCGACCCGUCUUGAAACACGGAC
Molecule: ribosomal RNA, 356 nt
Filed under: Paracoccidioides lutzii
Lineage: Eukaryota; Fungi; Ascomycota; Eurotiomycetes; Onygenales; Ajellomycetaceae
Description: eukaryotic LSU rRNA
Rfam family: Eukaryotic large subunit ribosomal RNA
Source: RNAcentral